This 280-nucleotide long non-coding RNA is filed under the name Mytilus galloprovincialis (Mediterranean mussel). The record is from RNAcentral. Lineage: Eukaryota; Metazoa; Mollusca; Bivalvia; Mytilida; Mytilidae.
UAUUAAUGUAAAGUAGUGAUCAGGUCUAGCUGAAAAAGGUCAAAAAUUAGCACUUCGGAAGCUGUCAAAAGAUUUCAAGACCCCCUUAACAUAAAAUUGUCCAUAUUUUGAGUAGAGCUGAUGAAGUUUUCUAUAAUUUUGAUAUCAUUUGUCCCAAAAGUAGUACAACACACUGUAAAAAUAUUAUUGAGAAAGCGCAGGUGGAAUUUUUUUAAUUUUCAUUUAUUGUCUAAAAGAAAUGCACUACGAAAUAACUGUGUACUCGGACCUAGAGGUGAAA